Long non-coding RNA from Nothoprocta perdicaria, 210 nucleotides. RefSeq lists it as uncharacterized. The transcript is spliced from 2 exons. Lineage: Eukaryota; Metazoa; Chordata; Aves; Tinamiformes; Tinamidae. The record is from RefSeq and is a predicted model, not a curated record.
UUAAGAACUUUCUUGCCGGCCAAAAGAAGUCACACUGGAAUUUAAGAUUUGAAUCCUUUAGAUUUCAGGUGACUGUUAGAUUUAAAUUCUAUGGUCCAAAUUGGCAUCAGUCUAUUCUGGCUAUGUUACUCCUUGUGACUUCUAAGGAAAUAUGAACUACAAUAGAGCAGGAGAGGAGAUACAUGAUUUGCUCUGAACUUCACUUGGACC